ACUCAAAUGAAUUGACGGGGGCUCGCACAAGCGGUGGAUCAUGUGGUUUAAUUCGACGAUAAACGAAGAACCUCACCGAGGUUAGAAAUCCAGACGAAUCUCAGAGGAAACUUUGAGAGCCUUCGGGCGGCUGGACAGGUGAUGCAUGGCUGUCGUCAGUUCGUGGCUUGAGCUGUUCCCUUAAGUGGGGUAACGAACGCAACCCCUAUUGUCUGUUACAAGUGUCAGGCAAGACUGCCCCCCAAGAGCACAUAGAAAUUUUGUGUGUUGUUGGGGGGGAGGAAGGCGGGGAUGACGCCAAGUCAGCAUGUCCCUCUGAUACCUCGGGCUACACACGUGAUACAAUGGACGGUACAACAGGAAGCGACGGAGCGAUCCCGAGCCAAUCCUCAGAAAGCCGUUCUCAGUUCGGAUUGUAGUCUGCAACUCGACUGCAUGAAGUUGGAAUCGCUAGUAAUCGCGGGUCAGCAUACCGCGGUGAAUACGUUCUCGAGCCUUGCACACACCGCCCGU
RNAcentral lists this ribosomal RNA (513 nucleotides) under uncultured bacterium. RNAcentral describes it as "partial 16S ribosomal RNA". It matches the Rfam family "Bacterial small subunit ribosomal RNA", at positions 899 to 1397 of the family's 1533-position model. The record is from RNAcentral.